GCCUUUUCUGGUUUAUGUGAGGUGCCAAAACACUUAUUUUCAUCCAUUGCUUAUUACAAGUUGUGUAUGCUAUAAUGCACAGACAGGAGGUGCUCAAACCUUCAAAACUCACCGGAAAUUCUAUGAAUUGCUUGAAAACGAUAAAUCUGAUGGUGAAGAAGCUGGUUCGGUCUAAUAUAUGACCCCACCCUCUACC
This is a long non-coding RNA of Phalaenopsis equestris, 196 nucleotides long. RefSeq lists it as uncharacterized. The record is from RefSeq and is a predicted model, not a curated record. NCBI's taxonomy places the organism in Eukaryota, Viridiplantae, Streptophyta, Magnoliopsida, Asparagales, Orchidaceae. The transcript has 2 exons.